UACGGGGGGGGCAAGCGUUGUUCGGAAUUACUGGGCGUAAAGCGCGUGUAGGCGGCCCUGCAAGUCGGGUGUGAAAUCCCACGGCUCAACCGUGGAAGUGCACUCGAAACUGCAGGGCUAGAGUCCUGGAGAGGAAGGUGGAAUGCUUGGUGUAGAGGUGAAAUUCGUAGAUAUCAAGCGGAACACCGGUGGCGAAGGCGGCUUCCUGGACCGACACUGACGCUGAGGCGCGAAAGCUAGGGGAGCAAACGGG
Molecule: ribosomal RNA, 253 nt
Filed under: uncultured bacterium
Lineage: Bacteria
Description: partial 16S ribosomal RNA
Rfam family: Bacterial small subunit ribosomal RNA
Source: RNAcentral